RNAcentral lists this unclassified non-coding RNA (321 nucleotides) under Hevea brasiliensis (rubber tree). Lineage: Eukaryota; Viridiplantae; Streptophyta; Magnoliopsida; Malpighiales; Euphorbiaceae. The record is from RNAcentral.
GUUUAGCGGUUUCUUUGUACACCCCUAGCUGGUGGAAUUGAAUUUAUGGUGGUGGCUGUUGUUGUUUUUUUUCCCCACAAGGAGGAGCAAGUCCUCAUUUUCUUUGUAGCAUGGUCAUGCAAAAAAUUACUUUUGAACUAUUGGAAUUGGAAAUUUUCGUAUGUGAAAAACAGUUUGUGUAACAGUUUCCUUUUCUUCUCUUUUUGGCUUAACUGAAAAUGUUGACAUUUUUUUCCCUUAGUCUUAUUGGGUUGGCUCUUGCCUUUCUUCCUCCCCCCAUUCUUCUUUUUUCCACAUUCUAGCCUGGAUUCAGCAUUUUUA